GACGAACGCUGGCGGCGUGCCUAAUACAUGCAAGUUGAGCGCUGAAGGUUGGUACUUGUACCGACUGGAUGAGCAGCGAACGGGUGAGUAACGCGUGGGGAAUCUGCCUUUGAGCGGGGGACAACAUUUGGAAACGAAUGCUAAUACCGCAUAAAAACUUUAAACACAAGUUUUAAGUUUGAAAGAUGCAAUUGCAUCACUCAAAGAUGAUCCCGCGUUGUAUUAGCUAGUUGGUGAGGUAAAGGCUCACCAGGGCGAUGAUACAUAGCCGACCUGAGAGGGUGAUCGGCCACAUUGGGACUGAGACACGGCCCAAACUCCUACGGGAGGCAGCAGUAGGGAAUCUUCGGCAAUAGACGAAAGUCUGACCGAGCAACGCCGCGUGAGUGAAGAAGGUUUUCGGAUCGUAAAACUCUGUUGGUAGAGAAGAACGUUGGUGAGAGUGGAAAGCUCAUCAAGUGACGGUAACUACCCAGAAAGGGACGGCUAACUACGUG
RNAcentral lists this ribosomal RNA (497 nucleotides) under uncultured bacterium. Its description in RNAcentral is "partial 16S ribosomal RNA". It matches the Rfam family "Bacterial small subunit ribosomal RNA", at positions 28 to 507 of the family's 1533-position model. The record is from RNAcentral.